Molecule: unclassified non-coding RNA, 490 nt
Filed under: Allium paradoxum
Lineage: Eukaryota; Viridiplantae; Streptophyta; Magnoliopsida; Asparagales; Amaryllidaceae
Description: partial external transcribed spacer
Source: RNAcentral
GGGUUGUGACCGUGGCGGCAUGUUAGUGGUUAUGGAUGUGGUUUCUUCGUCAGGCUCCCUGCUUUUUGGCGGCCAACUGACGAAUACCGUGUCCCUUUUAAACCUAUGCGUCAUAGUUUGCUAGGUUUAGUGUUGCCCUCGUGGAAAAUUGAUCCAGUUUGGAACCGAAUGUCAAAUGAUGCUAUUUGUAUCGUCCCCUCCUCUUAUCCGGGUGCUUAUGAGGGGCGUGCGAAGUUGGGCAAUUCUUCGGUAGUUGAUUCGAUUCGGGAGUCCGCUUUAAUCGUUAUUGUUCCUAAAAAUGUUGCGGAUGUUGGGCAUGGUUGAUAUUUUGGGGGAAGUGUUCCGCUGAUUAUGUGACUCGGUUUUGUCCGCGCUUUUGAAAGACGCCUACACGGGAUCGUUGUGCCCCCCUUCUUUUUUGAAGGAGAGCAAAUGUCGGUGUGUAGGGCGCCUAAGAGGACGUGCUACCUGGUUGAUCCUGCCAGUAGUC